RNAcentral lists this ribosomal RNA (454 nucleotides) under uncultured bacterium. RNAcentral's name for it is "bacterial SSU rRNA". It matches the Rfam family "Bacterial small subunit ribosomal RNA", at positions 8 to 507 of the family's 1533-position model. The record is from RNAcentral.
AGAGUUUGAUCAUGGCUCAGAACGAACGCUGGCGGCAUGCCUAACACAUGCAAGUCGAACGAAGCCUUCGGGCUUAGUGGCGCACGGGUGCGUAACGCGUGGGAAUCUGCCCUUGGGUUCGGAAUAACAGUUAGAAAUGACUGCUAAUACCGAAUGAUGUCUUCGGACCAAAGAUUUAUCGCCCAAGGAUGAGCCCGCGUCGGAUUAGCUAGUUGGUGAGGUAAAGGGCUCACCAAGGCGACGAUCCGUAGCUGGUCUGAGAGGAUGAUCAGCCACACUGGGACUGAGACACGGCCCAGACUCCUACGGGAGGCAGCAGUGGGGAAUAUUGGACAAUGGGCGAAAGCCUGAUCCAGCAAUGCCGCGUGAGUGAUGAAGGCCUUAGGGUUGUAAAGCUCUUUUACCCGGGAUGAUAAUGACAGUACCGGGAGAAUAAGCCCCGGCUAACUCCGUG